Juglans microcarpa x Juglans regia is the source of this 414-nucleotide long non-coding RNA. RefSeq lists it as uncharacterized. The record is from RefSeq and is a predicted model, not a curated record. The transcript is spliced from 3 exons. Lineage: Eukaryota; Viridiplantae; Streptophyta; Magnoliopsida; Fagales; Juglandaceae.
AUUCAGUUAUUGCUUUCCAAUUUUGCACGUGACUAUGGAAUUUAAUUCAUGCGUUCCAUAGUGUUAUUAGAGGAAACAUAAUGGUGGUUUUAUUGCUAUUUUUUCAUUCUCAGGUUUAUGAAGUUCUGAAGCUGCUAAAUGAGCUCUACCUACUAUAGCUAGAGAUCAAGAUGCUCAACAGGUGUUGGAUAAGGAAUCCUUUUUAGUUAAUUCCCCUAGCCUUCUGCAAAAAUUCGGAAUGCAUAUACUUCCCUUGUUGAUCCAGGUAGUUAAUUCUGGUGCAAAUUUAUAUGUUUGCUAUGGCUGCCUUUCUGUUAUCAACAAGUUAGUUUAUUUCAGCAAAUCUGACAUGCUUCUUGAAUUGCUUAACAAUACCAACAUUUCAAGUUUUUUGGCCGGAGUGUUCACUUGAAA